AAAGGAAGAUAGAUAUCUUGGUGUCUUGGCCUUCCUCAUGCUGACCUGUUGCUGUGUGGUUGGAUCCUUCCAUGUCAGAAGCAGUUUUGAAGGGCCAGCAGCUCUCCAGGAAUUUUUCAGUUUUGACAGGAGGUGGGGACCACUGAGGUGCCUAGCCUUGGGGACUGAGCAUCAAUUGAAUUUGCCAGCCUCCCUAGUGAGAAUCACUGUGGAUUACCCUGACCACUGAGCCACCCAAGGAUACAGAAACUACCAAAUUCUCAGCCCCUCAGCUGUAAUUCAGCAGUUUUUUGCUAUUUCAAUGUAAGCUUAAUAAUACAUUCACAGACACAGACAGACAGACAGACAGACAGACACACACACACACACACACACACACACUCACCCCGUUGGUUCUGUUCCUCUAGACAACCUUGAUUGAUACAAACUGUGGUAUAAGGAGUGGUCCUGGAGGAACAGAAAUGUAGGCAUGAGUUUCUCUAGUGGUCCUGGUGGUAACUGGGGGUAGCUCUCCAGCUGGGUGAAACCUGAGGUCAUUUACGACUCUUCUGGUAGCAUGGGGGAAAACUAACAGUCCGUGAUGUGAACCGUUUCAAGAACUCACCAAGACACAUGCAUUUGGUGCUCUCAAUUCACCUCUGUGCGCUGUAAAGAAUGUAAUAGCUGUGUAAAAGUCUAUGAGCUUUUGUGGAAAAGUAAGAAAAAUGCUGCUGCUGACUUCUUUGGACAAUUUUAGAAAAGAAAAGAAACAAGAUAAGAGCCGGUGAUGACUUCAUCUAAAGGAGAUGUCAGAGAGAACAGUGCUGCUGUCCCUCAGGAGCCACCUGUCAUUGCCUCUAGACCUAUCUUGAUGGUUAGGUUAAGCAGACCCCAGCGUUGAGAAUGAAAUUGUGGUCCGUGAGAAGCAGUGUGUUGUGCCCUAUCUUUCAAGAAUGAGUGUGCAACAGGGUCUAUUGAUUUCCGGUUUUGCAGUGAGCAUAUUACAAUAGCCCUUAGUUUCACAGGAAAGAAGCCUCCUGGAAAUGGUUCUUCUCCCUCUGACCAUGCCUGGAAACAUCGGUGAAAAUUCUCCAAUGAAUGCAGAAAAAGACACAGGAGAUCAAGG
This is a long non-coding RNA of Mesocricetus auratus (golden hamster), 1105 nucleotides long. RefSeq lists it as uncharacterized. The transcript has 4 exons. The record is from RefSeq and is a predicted model, not a curated record. Lineage: Eukaryota; Metazoa; Chordata; Mammalia; Rodentia; Cricetidae.